RNAcentral lists this ribosomal RNA (489 nucleotides) under Triticum aestivum (bread wheat). RNAcentral's name for it is "partial small subunit ribosomal RNA". The record is from RNAcentral. Lineage: Eukaryota; Viridiplantae; Streptophyta; Magnoliopsida; Poales; Poaceae.
AUGGUGGCAGUCCUGCAGUUGUGCGUCGAGGAACUCUGCUUGGUGUACCACAUCGCAGCAGCCACAAAAUGGCCCAAGCGCCUCAAACAGUUCCUGCAGGAGGAGAAAUUGUACACAUUUGUCGGUUACAACAUUGGAGGUGACAAGCAGAUGCUGGACAAGUCUGGUUUGGAGAUCAACCCCAACAACUUCAUCGACAUGCAACGCAAGUGGAAAGAUCCAAAGACCAGCAAAUACUACGACUCCUUGGCCGAUGUUGCAGGCGAAGUAAUCCACCCAUUCUUCACCAACAUGAAGAAGAAGUUUGACAAGGGAGAACACAAACUGUGCGGGAUCAGCCCGCUGCCAGACAACCUCAUCACGUACGCAGGAAUAGAUGCGUACGCCACAUACAAGUCAUGGAAGACAAUCGACAACAUCGUGACAGGUUGUGAUAUUUCAGAAGAGCAGGAGGCUGACCCCUACUACCACUACAACUUCGCGGGAUGA